AUUUUACUCCCUCCGUCCCGAAUUACUUGUCGCAAAAAUGGAUGCAUCUAGACAUAUUUUUAGUUCUAGAUACAUCCAUUUCUGCGACAAGUAAUUCGAGGCGGAGGGAGUAUUUG
This is a non-coding RNA of Triticum aestivum (bread wheat), 116 nucleotides long. Lineage: Eukaryota; Viridiplantae; Streptophyta; Magnoliopsida; Poales; Poaceae. The record is from Rfam.